This 376-nucleotide unclassified non-coding RNA is filed under the name uncultured Pseudomonadota bacterium. Its description in RNAcentral is "uncultured proteobacterium contains 16S-23S intergenic spacer region". Lineage: Bacteria; Pseudomonadati; Pseudomonadota. The record is from RNAcentral.
UCCGGUUUGUCACCGGCAGUCCCAUUAGAGUGCUCAUCUGAAUGUAGCAACUAAUGACAAGGGUUGCGCUCGUUGCGGGACUUAACCCAACAUCUCACGACACGAGCUGACGACAGCCAUGCAGCACCUGUGUUCCGAUUCUCUUUCGAGCACUCCCCAAUCUCUCGGGGAUCUCGGACAUGUCAAGCGUAGGUAAGGUUUUUCGCGUUGCAUCGAACUAAUCCACAUCAUCCACCGCUUGUGCGGGCCCCCGCCAAUUCCUUUGAGUUUUAAUCUUGCGACCGUACUCCCCAGGCGGGAUGCUUAAUGCGUUAGCUGCGCCACUGAAGGGUAAACCCACCAACGGCUAGCAUCCAUCGUUUACGGCGUGGACUAC